Paramuricea clavata is the source of this 755-nucleotide non-coding RNA. Lineage: Eukaryota; Metazoa; Cnidaria; Anthozoa; Malacalcyonacea; Plexauridae. The record is from the annotation of a GenBank genome assembly.
CCACUGCUUCGCAAGCGCGGUUCCGUUCAUAUUAAAUAAAGUUAUAAAAGAUUUCGCUCCUAAGAGCCGAUUUGACAUUUCGCAUAGAAGCCGCGAGAGAGGCUGAGCACGAGUUUUAUUUGUGGCCCACAAAGAGAGCCCGACACAAAAGCGCUGAGUUAAAGUGGCGGGCACUAACCAGUCACUGAUUACAGAGUUCAUCCAAGGCCAUAUAGAGUUAGGUUUUUACGAUGGGCGCUUAAUUAAUUAUCCUGGAUUUCCACUUGCAAGAAAAAUUUCGCAAUGUUUCCGUGAAGAUUUGUGUGCGGUCAUGCGGUCAAGUACAAAUGAUUUACUCGUAUGAUCACAAUUCAAUUUUUUUAUCCCUAUCAAAAUGUUAGGGGUAUUACUGUAACUUAUCUCUACCUUAAGUUACUGUAAUAGCAAAAAAUCCGCCAAGUUAUAUUAUAACGACAAAAUUGACUAAUAGUUUUUUGACAUGCAGUUUGCGGACAAUUUUUAAAUAAUAUAAUGCUUAAUCCAGUUCAAUAUAGCGAUCAGUGCUGAUAACAUAAUAUUGCACUUACAGUAGCUAUAUAAUACAACAAUAGAUUACGUAACUUUGAAAAGCUUGAUAGUCACGUCAUUUAUAACAGUUGCACAGCUAAUCUUGCUGCGUACUGAUUGUGCAUAGAAUGUCUUUCAGGUCACUUGAAAACAAUCAACUUUUAAGCAGAAGUUAAAUAGGUCUUGACAUCUCACAUACGUACUCUAAA